Long non-coding RNA from Stylophora pistillata, 800 nucleotides. RefSeq lists it as uncharacterized. The record is from RefSeq and is a predicted model, not a curated record. Lineage: Eukaryota; Metazoa; Cnidaria; Anthozoa; Scleractinia; Pocilloporidae.
UGCCAGUAGUUGACCUCAAAGUGUAUAAAUUGGGAAGUGGCGUGACUACGGUGGCUUUUCACUUCGCACUGUUCACCAGUGUUUCCAAGUCUUUACACAGGGAAGAGAGAUCGCAGCCGAAUAGCAAUCUAACCAAAUUAACGUGGAAAUGAAUUCUUGGUGGAUUUUAAUCAUUUCCCUAGGAAUGCUUGCUGUUCAAAAUCUCUUAGUGGACGCUGGCCCAGUGGACAUGAGAAUGUUUCCUAGAGAACAAGAAGAAUACGAAAGAAGCUGGCUAGAAGAAAAGAGAGGCCUCUGCCAUGAUAUGAAACCAAUCAAAUGCAUUUGGGAGCAAAAUCUGUGCAAUCACCUAAACCAUGCAAACUAUCAGGACUUCCUCGCCUUCGCUUACGUGGAGUGUCCCCAGACGUGCAGGAUGUGUUGAGAGACAAUUUACUAGGAAACGGCAAGAAUUCAUGUUUACAAGAAAAGUUAGAUGUUCCUCUAAAAACCUCUGACCAGCUAUCGAGAUAUGUAUUCAUAUUGCAAAGAAGUUCUUCUGUUUAUGAAGCAUUACCCUCCAGAUUCAGCUAUUUUUUUAUUUUGGUCAAUGUUAUUCGUAUAGUUAUACUACCCUUAUCAAUAAAAAUUCUCUUAGCCUACAAUUGUUGUACUGACUAGUUCAGAGCUGAUCUACGAAAAUUAGUGGAUAAUUAGUUUUCCUUAGAAUAUUUUAGCAUUUUAAGGCUGGGUAGUUUUUUUUGUGUGAUUAAAUUCCUUGUAACAUUUCCAAGUUAAAAUAUCAAAAUGUGUGCGUAAUA